AGGGGUAUAGUUCUUCGGAACUAGAGACCGGCGCACGGGUGCGUAACGCGUAUGCAAUCUACCUUUCACAAAGGGAUAGCCCAGAGAAAUUUGGAUUAAUACCUUAUAGUAUAGCGACUUCGCAUGGAGAUGCUAUUAAAGAUUUAUCGGUGAAAGAUGAGCAUGCGUCCCAUUAGCUAGUUGGUAAGGUAACGGCUUACCAAGGCUACGACGGGUAGGGGUCCUGAGAGGGAGAUCCCCCACACUGGUACUGAGACACGGACCAGACUCCUACGGGAGGCAGCAGUGAGGAAUAUUGGUCAAUGGGCGCGAGCCUGAACCAGCCAUGCCGCGUGCAGGAUGACGGUCCUAUGGAUUGUAAACUGCUUUUGUACAGGAAGAAACACUCCCUCGUGAGGGAGCUUGACGGUACUGUAAGAAUAAGGAUCGGCUAACUCCGUGCCAGCAGCCGCGGUAAUACGGAGGAU
This 467-nucleotide ribosomal RNA is filed under the name uncultured Bacteroidota bacterium. RNAcentral's name for it is "bacterial SSU rRNA". It matches the Rfam family "Bacterial small subunit ribosomal RNA", at positions 65 to 533 of the family's 1533-position model. The record is from RNAcentral. Lineage: Bacteria; Pseudomonadati; Bacteroidota.